GGGGGCAUAACUCAGUGGUAGAGUGCCACCUUGACAUGGUGGAAGUCAUCAGUUCAAGUCUGAUUGUUCCCA
Molecule: transfer RNA, 72 nt
Filed under: Micrasterias rotata
Lineage: Eukaryota; Viridiplantae; Streptophyta; Zygnematophyceae; Desmidiales; Desmidiaceae
Description: tRNA-Val
Rfam family: tRNA
About the family: Transfer RNA (tRNA) molecules are approximately 80 nucleotides in length. Their secondary structure includes four short double-helical elements and three loops (D, anti-codon, and T loops).
Source: RNAcentral